This 253-nucleotide ribosomal RNA is filed under the name uncultured bacterium. RNAcentral describes it as "partial 16S ribosomal RNA". It matches the Rfam family "Bacterial small subunit ribosomal RNA", at positions 524 to 776 of the family's 1533-position model. The record is from RNAcentral.
UACAGAGGGUGCAAGCGUUGUUCGGAAUUAUUGGGCGUAAAGAGCUCGUAGGCGGUCUGUCGCGUCGGCUGUGAAAACUCGGGGCUCAACUCCGAGCUUGCAGUCGAUACGGGCAGGCUAGAGUUCGGCAGGGGAGACUGGAAUUCCUGGUGUAGCGGUGAAAUGCGCAGAUAUCAGGAGGAACACCGGCGGCGAAGGCGGGUCUCUGGGCCGAUACUGACGCUGAGGAGCGAAAGCGUGGGGAGCGAACAGG